UCACAAUCUGAUAUUGUACUAACCAUAUUUAAAUGUUUGUUUAUUCCCAGAAAGAAUCUCUUAAAUGUCAGUAUCAUUCCCAUCUUAGUGAAGCAACUGAAGUUGAGAGCCUAAGUGUAUGCCUUGGCUCACAUAGCUGGGGAUUGAAAUCCAAAUCUUAACAAACUCCGAAAUACAUGUUCUCUUCACCACAUCGCCUCUCGCAUCCACAUCCAUACAGCCACUGCAGCGGAUGGCUCUCAGCUUCUAAAGGUCAUUGCUAUAGUCCCAGUGGAUUGUAAAUGGUCAAUUAAAAGGGAGAUGGUUGAAAUGAAUUAAACAAAUGAAGUCACAGCUUUGGGGAACGUGCAUACCACAGGGCAACUGCUUCUACUCCUCCAAAACUCUCCACCUCUAAAUCAAGGACCAAGAAAAAAGCCACAGGAACACAACAGGACAAUAAAGAUUUUGCCACUGACCCAAAGCAACGUGCCUUUGGCAGACUCCCAUCGUCUGAGUUCCAAGAAGCAGAGCCCAGGGGAAAGGCAUGGAAUACCUUUCCAGAACAGAGUUUCUCCUCUGCAUGAUGAGGUUAGGAACACCUGACCAACUGUUUUAACUUGGCCAACGUCCCCACUGGAGGCCAGGUCUUCCAUGCAGAGCUUCUCCACCAGGCGGGCACUGCUCUAGGCCCAGUGAAAAGACAGGCGAGGUCCCUGCUCUCCUGGUAUUUACAUUCUUGUUGGCGCAGGGAGCCAACAGAUAAACCAGAUCAAUUUAGAUAGUGAUAAGCUUAUAAAGUGCAUAAAACAUGGGGCUGGCCCGGUGGUGCAGGGGUUAAGUGUGCACGUUCCACUUCAGUGGCCUGGGGUGCCCCGGUUCGGAUCCUGGGUGCGGACAUGGCACCACUUGGCAAGCCAUGCUGUGGCAGGCGUCCCACGUAUAAAGUAGAGGAAGAUGGGCACGCAUGUUAGCUCAGGGCCAGUCUUCCUCAGCAAAAAGAGGAGGAUUGGCAGCAGUUAGCUCAGGGCUAAUCUUCCUCAAAACAAACAAACAAAAAAGGAGCAUAAAACAGUAAGGUGGUGUCCACAGUGAUGGAGGAGUAGCUAUUUUAAUUUGAGUGGAAAGAUGAGAACUUUCAUUCACUCAACAACUAAACAUAGUAGUAGGCACUGGGAGGGCACCAAAGAAAUAGGAGUGAUGUUUCUGUUUGAAGGACCUUAUGUUUAGCUGGAGAGAUGAGAUAAAUAUGUAAGAGUCCAGAAGGAGUUAUGCAUAUGCAAAACCCACAUGCAAACCUGGAAGCCUGAAGGCCGAGGGACAGGAAACAAGGCAGUGAUCAGGGCAAGCUCAAAUCAGUAGGACAGGCUUCUCAAGAAGACACGUCUGAGCAGUUGGGAAUACGUUGUGCACCUGGGUUGUCUGAGAGAAAGAGCCUUAGAUCCUUGCCACUGAGCCACUGGGAAGUGGAGUCAGGAUUUGGUCCAGGGCUGAGAACCCCAAGCCAAAUUGUCAGACAGAAGAGAUAACAAGUUACCAGCUUGAGGUCGAAUUUGGAAGGACGAGCAAAAAGAGAAAUAAUGCUGCACUUCAGAUCAAUUCCAAAUGCCUUCCCCUGGCCUCCGAAGCACUGCCCGCCUCCCCCCCUCGCCUCCUACCUCUCCUCCUGGCUGCAGCCUCACUGGCCUCCCCCUGGCACUCACUCGGCCUCACGGUUGUCCGUGCGGACUUCGGCGUUUGAUGAUUCUGCUCAGAAAGCGCUUCUUUCACAGCCUCGCAGGCCUGCUUCCUUCGUGUUAGCUGUCUUGGCUCGGCUCACCUGUCUUUUCCUCUGCGAGGCCUUUGCUGAGCAUCCUUCCCAAAGGAGCCUCCUCCAUCUUCCCAAUCCCUCUCUCUCACCUCACCCUGACAUCUUUUCUUCAGAGCACUUGACCAGCUCACAUCUUUUGUUUCUUUAUUUGUUUACUUAUCUGUUUUCUGUUUUCCCCUCUAGGAAGUUUGAUUUGAGCAGAAAGCUGUGUGCUUUAUUCCCUGCUGUAUCCCCAUUGCUCAAAUGCCACCACUACCUAGCAAAAGCUUACUAGAGCCUUGUUGGAUUCAUUAAAGUGCCUACUCUGCGCCAAGCAUUGUGGGAAGCUCUUUCCAUAACAAUGUGACAUCCCGUUUAAUCCCCACAACAAUGCCAAGUGGCAGGUUUUGUCCUGCUCGUUUUACAGAUGAGAAAACCGAGGCCCAGAAAAGCUAAUUAACUUCCUCAACAGCACAUAGCUGGUAAGCAGCAACUGAACCCAAGUCUGUCUAUCCCUAAAGUCUAUGUCUUCUCUACUUUUCGAGGGGAAAAGAGGAAGUGAAAUCGAGAAUGUAAAGGAUCCAAAUCAGGUUAAGAUUCUCGUACCACAGUUAGGAACCCGGGGCAGUCAGUCCCGUUGUCAAAUGAAGACCAGGAACCCCAGGGCUCAAGACCAGCACAGCUUUCCACUGGUGUUGACAGAGGUCUGAAUGCAAGAGGACUUUCCUACGAAGGCUGAAGAAAAUACGAUGCAGCCGUGGGUGUCAGCUGAAGAACAGCCAACACAAGAGCUGGAUCCUAUUUACCCACGGAAUGAAUUGUGACUGCUAUUUUUCAAGGGAUUAAAAAAAGGAAUGCCGUGUGAAGGAAAACACUUACUCCGCACACCCUGAAGUGAACACAUACCAUUCUUGUUUCGCCAUGAGAACGUUUGGCCAACUGCCUCUCGCCUUUUACCAUUUUCUUGCUCAUUCUCUUACCUUUCUCAAAAAUAAGAGGAUGUUCAUUAAUCAGAGGCACCAUUCUGGGGAGUUGCAUAACAACCUGGAAACCAUCACAACUGGGGAAGUGGGAAGCAACUCGGACUUGCAAAAUUGGAAGUCCUAGAUUUUAGGACAAUAGUCUGCUCCUUAAUUCCUUUGCCUGGGUGAUUAAGCCAGUUUAUCUAAACCUCAGCUCGCUCAUCUACAAGAUGAUGGAAAUGAUAUCUGCUCUGCUGACUUCAUAGGGGUUUUGAGAGGAUUAAACGAGAUGACGUGGGGCUGGCCCCGUGGCCGAGUGGUUAAGUUCGCGCGCUCUGCUGCAGGCGGCCCAGUGUUUCCUUAGUUCGAAUCCUGGGCGCGGACACAGCACUGCUCAUCAGACCAUGCUGAGGCAGCGUCCCACAUGCCACAACUAGAAGAACCCACAACGAAGAAUACACAACUAUGUACCGGGGGGCUUUGGGGAGAAAAA
Equus caballus (horse) is the source of this 3223-nucleotide long non-coding RNA. NCBI's taxonomy places the organism in Eukaryota, Metazoa, Chordata, Mammalia, Perissodactyla, Equidae. The record is from Ensembl.